RNAcentral lists this unclassified non-coding RNA (410 nucleotides) under Artemisia alba. RNAcentral describes it as "partial external transcribed spacer". Lineage: Eukaryota; Viridiplantae; Streptophyta; Magnoliopsida; Asterales; Asteraceae. The record is from RNAcentral.
GUCCGUAAAGGUGGAUGAGUGGUGUUUGGUUUGUUACGUGUGGUUGGCUGCGGCGUUUGCAACAACUUCCAUGCUUUCAGACCUCUUCAGUUGUGCGGCAAGGCUUGUAUCGCCUUGAGCGUAUUGUGGGUUUUCUGUGUUGGCUACCUAAUCAACGGUAUCGGUUGGAUUGAUCAAAGUUUGAUUUCGUCUUCCGUCGCGUUCGCGGCGUGAGGUGAACCUCGAUGCGGUCUCUUUGAUCCACCUCGUCGAAGCACAUGCUUCGACGUUGUGGCGCAUUGAGCAUUGCUUGGUCUCUUGUAUACGGAACAUAUAGUGGGCAUGGAUCUAACGAUUCUUGUUUGCCCUCAUAUUAGCGUAACGCUUCUCUAACACGACUUGCGCCACGUUUUAGCUCGUACGGACGUGGU